Molecule: long non-coding RNA, 1006 nt
Organism: Panicum virgatum (switchgrass)
Lineage: Eukaryota; Viridiplantae; Streptophyta; Magnoliopsida; Poales; Poaceae
Exons: 4
Source: RefSeq, a predicted model, not a curated record
CAGCCGGCGGCCGUCAGGUUCAUCCGCUCCGAGUGGCUCGUGCUCGCCGGGCCCGACUUCCGCCCAAGCCGGGCUCGGCCAUCCGCAUCUCCGGCGGGCAGCAGCAAGAUGCCGCGGCGCUCGACCGACGCGACGUCCCCGGUGCGGACACCACACUCCACCUCGCGGUCCGGCUCCGGCUCCCCUCCAUGGCCUCCACGCUCGCCGCCGUUGGGGCGGACCCACCCAACCCUUUCCUCCGGCGGCGGCUGCGUGGCUUCUUCAUCAAUACCCCAUCCUCCGCCACCACAGCCUCGUCCUCCGGCGACUCCAUCCGCCUCUACGACCUGGCCACGCGGCCGACUUCGGCCCUCUCCCUGAUCCCUUGGCCGCCGUCUACGCUCCUGUGCCGCGGGACUCCCUCGCCGUUUACCAUGAGCCGACGACGGCGCGCUCGUCCUUUACGACGCCAAUGACUUCGCGUUCCUCGCCAUGGUCCGUGCCUUCCCGCACCACCAGGCCACCGAGGGGCUCGUCGUGCAGGAUGGUAGCGCUCGCCAUGGUUGACCCCCUCCGCGGCCGCCACAAGAGGGGAUUGUUCAUGAGAUGGAGUGCGGCAAAUUGGUGCUCGUCGUCAUGGCUGCAAAGGUGAUAAUUUCAGAGCAGCAGCUCGUGACCAGCUAGAAGUUUGGGCUGAGAGAACUGGUUCAGAGAUUGUCAUUGACAAUGAUAAGAAGGCACAGCCCCCAGCAGUAAGUCGACCAAGGGUGGGCACAAGGUGAUCGCACGGUGGAUCGACAAAGGCAGGCACAAGAUUUCUGUGUAGCGAGAUCCCGUGGCAGCUCUGGACGUUUUUUCUUCACAACAGAUUUGUACUGUUCUUUGUAUGAAAACCUUAGUGUUUCAAAGUCUAUGUAUGCUUAACGAGUACCAACCCUAUGUUAUUAGAAUCAUGUAAUGGGAGCUGUGUCGGAACUUUUUUUUGAAUGAAGUAUGUCUGUGCUCUCAAGGGAGGUUUUUCUGUUCA